CCUACGGGUGGCAGCAGUGAGGCAUAUUGGUCAAUGGACGAGAGUCUGAACCAGCCAAGUAGCGUGAAGGAUGACUGCCCUAUGGGUUGUAAACUUCUUUUAUAUGGGAAUAAAAUGUUCCACGUGUGGGAUUUUGUAUGUACCAUAUGAAUAAGGAUCGGCUAACUCCGUGCCAGCAGCCGCGGUAAUACGGAGGAUCCGAGCGUUAUCCGGAUUUAUUGGGUUUAAAGGGAGCGUAGGUGGAUUGUUAAGUCAGUUGUGAAAGUUUGCGGCUCAACCGUAAAAUUGCAGUUGAAACUGGCAGUCUUGAGUACAGUAGAGGUGGGCGGAAUUCGUGGCGUAGCGGUGAAAUGCUUAGAUAUCACGAAGAACUCCGAUUGCGAAGGCAGUUCACUGGACUGCAACUGACACUGAGGCUCGAAAGUGUGGGUAUCAAACAGGAUUAGAUACCCUGGUAGUC
Molecule: ribosomal RNA, 460 nt
Filed under: uncultured bacterium
Lineage: Bacteria
Description: partial 16S ribosomal RNA
Rfam family: Bacterial small subunit ribosomal RNA
Source: RNAcentral